RNAcentral lists this ribosomal RNA (333 nucleotides) under uncultured Legionella sp. RNAcentral's name for it is "bacterial SSU rRNA". It matches the Rfam family "Bacterial small subunit ribosomal RNA", at positions 284 to 609 of the family's 1533-position model. The record is from RNAcentral. Lineage: Bacteria; Pseudomonadati; Pseudomonadota; Gammaproteobacteria; Legionellales; Legionellaceae.
UAGCUGGUCUGAGAGGAUGAUCAGCCACACUGGGACUGAGACACGGCCCAGACUCCUACGGGAGGCAGCAGUGGGGAAUAUUGGACAAUGGGGGCAACCCUGAUCCAGCAAUACCGCGUGUGUGAAGAAGGCCUGAGGGUUGUAAAGCACUUUCAGUGGGGAGGAGGGUAUUUUGGUUAAGAGCUGAGAUAUUGGACGUUACCCACAGAAGAAGCACCGGCUAACUCCGUGCCAGCAGCCGCGGUAAUACGGAGGGUGCGAGCGUUAAUCGGAAUUACUGGGCGUAAAGGGYGCGUAGGUGGUYGGAUAAGUUAGCUGUGAAAUUCCUGGGCU